GGGCUGUUGGGUCAGAACAGAGCAGGGUUAGCCCAGCCCUGCGAGUCUGGCAGACUCAGCCCCCAAUUGGAGCUAUGUGCUAGCCCUGUGAUCCUAGACAGGUUGCUCUGCGUCUCUGAGUCUCCGCUUCCUCCUCUGUAAAAAGGAGGAUGAAAGGCUAAUAAUGUACACUCACAGAGACCAGAGACUGACAUGAUCACUGCUGUCCCCUCGGCCGCCAGCAUCACAUCUGCCACAAUAAUGAGAUACUACACCAGCAUUUUCAAAAGAAAAAGGGGGCUGGUGUCGCAGUGUGGAAGCAGGCAGGUAGUCCUUCUCCACACCAGCCAGAGGAAGUCUACUUUCAUCUAUCCCACCAGACUAGAAUCUAAGCUGCACGAAGGCAGCAUUUGGUCUCCCCUGUUUGGAUGUCACCUUCAGAGCCUGGACACUGGCAGAUACACACCAGAUGCUCAGUGCCUGAGAAAGGCCACGUGCUAAACAGGAAGCACUGAUCAGCUUCCAGGGCACUGAAACCUUUACUUUGUGGCUGAAUAAAGCAACC
This 544-nucleotide long non-coding RNA is filed under the name Pan troglodytes (chimpanzee). Its description in RNAcentral is "long non-coding RNA NONPTRT005382". The record is from RNAcentral. Lineage: Eukaryota; Metazoa; Chordata; Mammalia; Primates; Hominidae.